AGGCCUUGACAUGCACUAGACAGACGCUGAAAGGCGUUCUCCCUUCGGGGCUGGUGCACAGGUGCUGCAUGGCUGUCGUCAGCUCGUGUCGUGAGAUGUUGCGUUAAGUCGCGCAACGAGCGCAACCCCUGUCCUUAGUUGCCAUCAUUCAGUUGGGCACUCUAGGGAGACAAACCCUCUUUGAGGGUGGGAAGGUGGGGAUGACGUCAAGUCAGGAUGGCCCUUACGGCCG
RNAcentral lists this ribosomal RNA (232 nucleotides) under uncultured bacterium. Its description in RNAcentral is "partial 16S ribosomal RNA". It matches the Rfam family "Bacterial small subunit ribosomal RNA", at positions 977 to 1209 of the family's 1533-position model. The record is from RNAcentral.